AUUGAACGCUGGCGGCAGUCCUAACACAUGCAAGUCGAACGGUAACAGGAAGAAGCUUGCUUCUUUGCUGACGAGUGGCGGACGGGUGAGUAAUGUCUGGGAAACUGCCUGAUGGAGGGGGAUAACUACUGGAAACGGUAGCUAAUACCGCAUAACGUCGCAAGCCCAAAGAGGGGGACCUUCGGGCCUCUUGCCAUCGGAUGUGCCCAGAUGGGAUUAGCUAGUAGGUGGGGUAACGGCUCACCUAGGCGACGAUCCCUAGCUGGUCUGAGAGGAUGACCAGCCACACUGGAACUGAGACACGGUCCAGACUCCUACGGGAGGCAGCAGUGGGGAAUAUUGCACAAUGGGCGCAAGCCUGAUGCAGCCAGGCCGCGUGUAUGAAGAAGGCCUUCGGGUUGUAAAGUACUUUCAGCGGGGAGGAAGGGAGUAAAGUUAAUACCUUUGCUCAUUGACGUUACCCGCAGAAGAAGCACCGGCUAACUCCGUG
This 490-nucleotide ribosomal RNA is filed under the name uncultured bacterium. RNAcentral describes it as "partial 16S ribosomal RNA". It matches the Rfam family "Bacterial small subunit ribosomal RNA", at positions 30 to 507 of the family's 1533-position model. The record is from RNAcentral.